Triticum aestivum (bread wheat) is the source of this 153-nucleotide non-coding RNA. Lineage: Eukaryota; Viridiplantae; Streptophyta; Magnoliopsida; Poales; Poaceae. The record is from Rfam.
AUCUUUGCGCUUGGGGCAAUGACGCAGCUAGUGAGGUUAUACCGAGGCGCGUCAAUUGCUGGUUGAAAACUAUUUCCAAACCCCCUCUUUGGCUCCUCGGAGCCACUGAGAAUUUCUGGAAGGGCUCUCUCUCCUUCGGGUGAGGGUAAAGCC